CCUACGGGAGGCAGCAGUGGGGAAUAUUCGGCAAUGGGCGCAAGCCUGACCCAGCAACGCCGCGUGAAGGAAGAAGGCUUUCGGGUUGUAAACCUCUUUUCUCAGGGACGAAGCAAGUCACUGUACAUUAGGAAUACGCCUCGUCUAACUACGUGCCAGCAGCCGCGGUAAUACGUAGGUGGCAAGCGUUAUCCGGAUUUACUGGGUGUAAAGGGCGUGUAGGCGGGACUGCAAGUCAGAUGUGAAAACCACGGGCUCAACCUGUGGCCUGCAUUUGAAACUGUAGUUCUUGAGUACUGGAGAGGCAGACGGAAGUCCUAGUGUAGCGGUGAAAUGCGUAGAUAUUAGGAGGAACACCAGUGGCGAAGGCGGUCUGCUGGACAGCAACUGACGCUGAGGCGCGAAAGCGUGGGGAGCAAACAGGAUUAGAUACCCCAGUAGUC
Molecule: ribosomal RNA, 443 nt
Filed under: uncultured bacterium
Lineage: Bacteria
Description: partial 16S ribosomal RNA
Rfam family: Bacterial small subunit ribosomal RNA
Source: RNAcentral